RNAcentral lists this ribosomal RNA (468 nucleotides) under uncultured bacterium. RNAcentral describes it as "partial 16S ribosomal RNA". It matches the Rfam family "Bacterial small subunit ribosomal RNA", at positions 28 to 507 of the family's 1533-position model. The record is from RNAcentral.
GAUGAACGCUGACAGAAUGCUUAACACAUGCAAGUCUACUUGAAUUUGGGUUUUUUAACUUAGAUUUGGGUGGCGGACGGGUGAGUAACGCGUAAAGAACUUGCCUCACAGCUAGGGACAACAUUUGGAAACGAAUGCUAAUACCUGAUAUUAUGAUUAUAAGGCAUCUUAGAAUUAUGAAAGCUAUAUGCGCUGUGAGAGAGCUUUGCGUCCCAUUAGCUAGUUGGAGAGGUAACGGCUCACCAAGGCGAUGAUGGGUAGCCGGCCUGAGAGGGUGAACGGCCACAAGGGGACUGAGACACGGCCCUUACUCCUACGGGAGGCAGCAGUGGGGAAUAUUGGACAAUGGACCAAGAGUCUGAUCCAGCAAUUCUGUGUGCACGAUGAAGUUUUUCGGAAUGUAAAGUGCUUUCAGUUGGGAAGAAAAAAAUGACGGUACCAACAGAAGAAGAGACGGCUAAAUACGUG